Molecule: ribosomal RNA, 250 nt
Filed under: uncultured bacterium
Lineage: Bacteria
Description: partial 16S ribosomal RNA
Rfam family: Bacterial small subunit ribosomal RNA
Source: RNAcentral
UACGUAGGUGGCGAGCGUUGUCCGGAUUUAUUGGGUUUAAAGGGUGCGUAGGCGGCCCCCUAAGUCAGUGCUGAAAUAUCCCGGCUUAACCGGGAGGGUGGCAUUGAUACUGAGGGGCUUGAGUAAAGUCGAGGUAGGCGGAAUUGACGGUGUAGCGGUGAAAUGCUUAGAUAUCGUCAAGAACACCGAUAGUGCAGACAGCUUACUAGGCUUUAACUGACGCUGAGGCACGAAAGUGUGGGGAUCAAAC